AUUGACUAGCUUGAGUCCGACCGGAGAGCAUCAAGGCCCGCAGAGCCCGCGCUAAGUCUCGGCGGCGGCGCCCAGGGCUGAGCCGUGGUAGCCCUGGUGUUUAGAGGGUGUCUUCCUCUAGAAAGAGAAAAGUUUGGCAGUGAUUUGAUUUCAACUGGGGAUAGGAUGUAAAGCCAGGCGUGGGGAAUCACCGUAUACUUUGCAGAGAGAGGCAGCUGCGGUCUUCCUGGUGCCUUCUAGUCCACACACCAACCCACGUCGUCAGCUUACACACAGACACACACAGACACACACACACACACACACACACACACAAACACUGGGCCAAGGGAGUUGCGGAUUUUCUGACUCCUUGUGCACUCAUCUGGAGGUGCGGAGUGGGUGCGUGCGCGCGCAUGCGUGCGCGCGCCCGAGAGAGAGCGAGAGAGAGAGAGAGAGAGAGAGAGAGAGAGAGAGAGAGAGAGAGAGAGAGAGAGAGCGUGUGUGUGUGUGUGUGUGUGUGUGUGUGUGUGGUGUAUGUACGCGUUUUCUCACGGUGGGAUGUUUAUUUCGGUGAACGCCAGGAAAGUGCAGUGUUAGAGAUCUGUCUGUGCUAGCUAGCUCGGGAGCAAACACGCCGCAAGCAACUGUAAUCAAUAUGUAACUUUCUUCAUCCUCAGAGAAAUCCCCGCUGUCCCCAGGCACCCAUGCAAGGAAAGUCACUUGAUUAUGAAAGUGUUUCAGAAGAAAAGCAGACGCCGGUGGAGAGAGAGGCAGUGUCUCGAAGGAGGGAACAAGCCUCUCUUAAGACAUGUUUUGCAGCUCCAUGAAACUGAAAUCUGGUUGAACAGUGUUUAGACUUCUACCUUUUAACCAUCUCCUAUCACAGCCCACAUUCAAGCUUUAGAAUCUCAAAGCUUGCUUUUGUCUGAACUGCUUUCACAAACAUCCACAAGUUACGAUCAGUUUUGGUUCUGAUCUAGCAGUUCUGGAGCAGAGUUAAGAGGGACAAAGGAAAACAAUCCGUUGAAAUAGAGAAGUGUGGAAAUAUAUGGCCCUUGUUGGAACUCCAUAUAUAGACCAGAUUGCUCUUGAACACAGAAAUAUCUGCCUGAUUUUUAUUCCUGAAAGCUGAGAUUAAAGUGACAGGCAGUGAAAGAUACUUCUUAGAAAAUGUUGACUCCUCUGGAAUAAAGCACUGCUAUGAGGCACUGGUUGGGAAAUUCAUGAGAAAGGAAACUGACUCUUAGAAAACAUGCCAGGUUAAAGGGUUCUGACAUUGACAACAGAAGAAAAAAGGUGAGCUGAAGAAGGACAGCAGCAAUAGACAUGCAAAUGCAGAUGGAGGAAAGCCAAGGCUGGCUAAGGACAACAAAAGAAUGUGAGAGGAGAUGAAAUAAUCUUUCACAAGGAAGAGCUCACAAAUUGAUUAUCCAAUACUAACUUGUCAGUCUUUAAAACACAUACAUAGAAAUAACAUCAUACAGACUGUGCACGUUGUGCUAAGCAUUGAAUAAUGUAUGUAUAUGUGUGCAUGCACAUGUGUGUGUGUGUGUGUGUGUGUGUGUGUAGCAAUAUUUAGUGAAAAAAGAAGUCUUGAAUUUGAGAGGAGAACACCAGGAAGAAAGAAAAGAAGUAAAAAUAAUGUUAAUUAAAAUGUGAAAAAUCAAAGAAAGAAAAACAUGUCAGUUAAUAGAAUGAAAUAUGGAGGCAGGAGGGUCACAAACUUAUGAACAUUUUAGAUUGUAUAACAUGACUGCCUAAAAAUCCUAAACCAUAGAAAUCAGCAAUAAAAACUUAAAAAACAAUCAGAUUUUUAGAGAAAAGAGACAAAGAACUUUUAUGACUCUACUACGUCAGCCAUUUGCAACAAAUUCUUCUUUGUGUCCUUUGUCUGGAUUUCUGCCUAAUAUCACUUUUAGCUUUCAGUUUAUGUAUUCUUGUUAUCUCAGUAAUACUCUGUGCAUUUCUUUGUUUCUCCAUAAACUUUCUCAAGCUUCAAAGACUUGUUGUAAUUGACAUUAUUUUCACUCAUGGUUUUAAAAAAUAUUGUUACCUAUUCAACUCUGCAAAGUUCCUUUAGUUGAAAACAUUCUUCCAUGACAAUAAAUCAAUUGGUCAUAUGCUUUUGCUCGCGUUGGGGACCUUGACCUGCUCCUGGGUUGCUUCCUCCGCCCUUAAUAUGAAAGAAGGUGACUAGUCUUACUUCAACUUGAUAUGCCGUGUUUAGUUGAUAGUCCUGGGAGGUUUAGCCUUUUUGGAAGGAAAACAGUGAAGAAUAGAUAGGAAGGGAAGAGGAGGUGGGGUAGGAGUGGGAAGUGGGAGACUGGAUCAACAAGAGGGACGGGAACCUAUAUUUAGGAUUCAAUUAUAUGAGGAUAAAUUAAUAGACAAAACCAAAACAAUCCUCCCAAAAAUCAACAAAAAUUUGACUGGUCAUAAAUGGGUGUGAAAGAUAAUCCUUCUGAUUACCUCAUUGAAAUCAACUCUGACGAAGGCUGUUCCAUAGGGUACAGAUUGUAUAUUUUUAUUAUUUUAGUUUUGGACAUUUAUUCCCAACCUUUUUAAUAUAUGGUCAUUAUUUUCAGUGGAUGUAAGUGCUUCAAUAAAGCAAGAGAUGUUUAACAUA
RNAcentral lists this long non-coding RNA (2608 nucleotides) under Mus musculus (house mouse). RNAcentral's name for it is "predicted gene, 32498, transcript variant 2 (Gm32498)". Lineage: Eukaryota; Metazoa; Chordata; Mammalia; Rodentia; Muridae. The record is from RNAcentral.